UACGUAGGGUGCGAGCGUUGUCCGGAAUUACUGGGCGUAAAGAGCGUGUAGGCGGCCCCUUAAGUCCUGCGUGAAAUCCUGCGGCUCAACCGCAGACGGUCGUGGGAAACUGGAGGGCUAGAGUGCGGGAGAGGAGAGUGGAAUUCCCGGUGUAGCGGUGAAAUGCGCAGAUAUCGGGAAGAACACCCGUGGCGAAGGCGGCUCUCUGGAACGCAACUGACGCUGAGACGCGAAAGCGUGGGGAGCAAACAGG
RNAcentral lists this ribosomal RNA (253 nucleotides) under uncultured bacterium. RNAcentral describes it as "partial 16S ribosomal RNA". It matches the Rfam family "Bacterial small subunit ribosomal RNA", at positions 524 to 776 of the family's 1533-position model. The record is from RNAcentral.